Molecule: long non-coding RNA, 4691 nt
Organism: Halichondria panicea
Lineage: Eukaryota; Metazoa; Porifera; Demospongiae; Suberitida; Halichondriidae
Exons: 4
Source: RefSeq, a predicted model, not a curated record
AAAUUGUAUGAUGUCAUAAUUUAUAUGGACAAGGGUUUCACAACAUCACCUGGCCCCUCUGACCUGGCCCCAUUUACAGUGUCACUGCACUGUGCAUGUGAUUAUUCAGGGUGAACCAAUGCAGGUGGAACUUGAUACAGGUGUGCUAUUGACAGCUAAUCUAGUAUUGUGAUUGCAAAAAAUUGUUAAUAAAAAAUCUUCAUAGAAGAAUUCUGUGCUGUUGGAAGUCCCUCGUACUUUCGAACUGAUGAGCAUAAAAAUGCUGUUUAAUGUUCCUCGUAAUUUUCAGCUCUAAGCUGGCAAAUUUAUUACGAGCUUAGCUACAUAUAUUUACAGCUGAAUCAUAUAUAUACAGGUCAUUAGCUACUGCUUUUAAUUGGAGUUAUACAUGCACUGCUAAAAUACAGUGCAUGUAUCUAGAAAUAUGGCUCCUGGAUAUGUUUUGGGGCUAGGAUAACUACCGUAUUCACCCAAAUUACCGGGACACUCUAUUCUAAGGGACACUUCGGACUUACGUAAUUUUUUUCACUCUAUAUUAAGGAACAACAGGAAAUGUAAAUAUUUUUAGACGUCCCGAUCUAAUUAGAACGAAAAAGAGCAUGCGCAAUGUGAGCGUGACCAGAAGGGGAGGGGCUGCUCGUUGCUUAGUACUUAUUAUAGUGCUAGUGGAGAAUGGCAACUCUAAAGGAUUUUUUUCCUCCUGCUCAGUUUGUCAGACAGUCUCCAGCUCCAACUGUUCACGCCAGACCUUCUGCUUCUAGCUGUUGCAACUUCUUCCAGGCCAUACUGGAAGAAAAAACGUCCUGUGGGCACACCUCGCAAAGUCAAUGUGCAAGUGGAUGCAACAACUGUACCUGGACCCGUAGUCACGGUAGAUCUAUACCUGCAACAAGUUCUCAUCCAGGUAUGCCCAUAGGUGUGUAUAAGAGUAGGGUUAAAAGCUAGUAUAAAAGAUAAUUAUACAGAGCUAAGUCCACCAGUCAAAAAAAUACAAAUAAUGUAUUCAAAUGGUCAAAAGUUAAAGGUUGCAAGACAAAAUGGCAUUCGUUGUGCUGCAAAACGUUUUGGUAUUCCUUCAUCUAAUGUAGAUGGUGGCUGUAAAAAAGGUGCCAUUAAAACCAUCAAAACUUCUAAGAAAGAACAGAAAAGGCCAAGGACGAAAGGUUACCUAUCCAAAUCACGUUGAGGAAAAAUUGAAGCAAUGGAUACUCAAAAAACGUGAUGAGAGUUUCAUUCCUGUAAGCACUACAAUGAUUAGAAUGAAGGCAAUUUAGCUAAUAAAGCCAUACUUAAGUGAUUUUAAAGCAUCUGAUGGUUUGCUAAGAAGAUUCUUGAGACGUAGUAAUCUUGUUUUACGUGCCAGAACAUCAAUGGCUCAAACUCUUCCUUCUGAUUUGGAGAACAAAAUUGCUCAAUUCCGACAGGCUGUUUACUGCGUAUUCUCAACUCCUGCACCGCACAUCUGACCAUGCGUGUACAAGACUCAUUCAGACUUUCAAACACGAGUGUAUUGGUUAUUCCAGGUGGGUGUACAUCAGUGCUCCAGCCACUAGCCUAACCAGCCUAACCCUAACCCUAACGCUCUAGGAAGACACGAAAAUGAAGUGAUCAGAGACAGUGUUGUCCAAAAAGAAAUUAUUGUUGAAGUGAGUCAAUGGGCUAUUGUUCUGAGAAUCGAAGUGACAAUGAUCCAUUUUCAAGCUCUGAUGAGUCAGCAUCUGAUCAUGAUACGCCAUUGCACAGUGAUGAUGAUAGUGACUCUAUCUGUUCACCUGACUUGGAACCCCUAUCAGGUAUUGAUUGUGACUGAAAACUGUAUAGGUACGUACCAGGUACAUUCUCCCAGCUCGAAGCUCACCACGAAUUGCAAUCGCUUGAUACUAGGGCGGAUUAUUAUGUGCAUGUUCAUCGAGCAAAAGGUUUUUGUAAAGCUAACGUCCUUCGCUAUGGCCCUGUUCAUCUGGUUUUGUACCCACUACGUUUUUAAUUUAGAGUACCAUAAAUACUGCGCAAAUGCUGCAAUGUUUUUCCAGGAAUUCAUUUUCGAGUUGCCGGAGGGUAACACAAAAAAAAGAAGCAAUGUUACUUAACUGUUGUCACGGAACUUUAUCGACUAGUAUCGAAGACUUAACUGCUCUUUUUUGUACAUGUAUGCAUUCCUGUCCGGCUUGCUAUACUUAUACAUAAUGAUUGAGUGUAUAAAUUUAUGGGAUCGUUUAUAAUGAAAACUGAGGUUAAUUCAAUAGGUUUAGUCGAUUGUUUUAACUAAAUUUUAGUGAUUAAAAGAUAAUUCAAAAUUUAAUAGUGAAGUUAGUCUUUGUUAUUUUAACUAAACUUGAUCGUAUAAUUUAUUAUGAUGACAGGUGAUUUAAUUCAUAAGUUUAGUCGAUUGUUUUAACUAAAUUUUAGUGAUUAGAAGAUAAUUAUUUAAUUCAAAAUUUAAUAGUGAAGUUAGUCUUUGUUAUAAAUAACGUGUUGGUUAUCUCAGUUUCAAGAGAAACAAUGAACAAAUUCCAUUAAAAUAACUAAUCUAUUACCCCUAUAUGCAAACAGCUUAUCAGCUUAUCACAGAGGAUGGGAUGGUUCAUAUGAUUGCAGAGGUGGAGGAUUUCCUCAAAGAAAUAUAUCCUCACAUUACAAGUCACGGCAGUGCUGAGGCCUCAUCCAAAGAGGAGAAUGAGGACAAAGCGAAACUUCCAGUCUUCACUCUAUUAGGUGAAAUAGCAGACUGAUGGGCUGAAAAGCAAACGCACGUAUGCUGAUGAAAACAAAUUCUGGUAUAAACACUCUCUUAACUAUUUUGACUUGGUCUCAACUACGGUAAAAUUAACCACGAAAUUGAUGGUAAACCACAUUUCAUACACACUCUUUUUAGAACACAGCAACAAAGGUCCCGGAGCGCAUAGGGUUUACUGUUAGAGGUUUCACACAGCCUUAUAGAGCAAUUUGACAAAAUAAUGUAGAGAAGGGGCGCUUCAUGUGGCUUGUACCAAGUGCCACCUCCAUACCACUUGAUGAUCUUCAGCGAAUUGACACCGAUUUCACUGCAUCAAUUGGUGAGAGCUCCAAAAGUAUGAGUAUAGCAACUACUUAGGUGACAAUUAAAUAGUAAGUGAAAUUGCUUCGCCCCUGUGCACUGUUCCGGGACAACUACGAUGAAGUUGAAAGCUUGAUGCAUGGAUGACCUCAUUACAGCAUAUACAAGUCAAGCCUUUAAAUCUUGGUGCAAGAAUGCUCUCCAAGUCUAAGGGGCAAAUACUGUGGCAUUUCAAAUUAGGAGAAUCCACAGAACAUACCAGAUGACAUUUCUGACUCUGCAAGGUGGCAAUCAACUUUGUUGAUGUAUGUAUCCAGCAUGCUGCACAUCUAGCUGGAAGGGGAGAACUGCACGAAGAGGUUGAAGCGUCCAGCUAGGUAAGUAAUGCAAUAACAUCCAGUUAGUUGUACCUCUGUUCUCUGUAGCCCCGCCGAAGACAAAAGACACAGAUGAAAAACAGGCCCGGCGGAACGUUUUGUAUUUAUGUUCAUGUUAAGUGGUGCUCCGAGGCUGAAUACAUCGCACUCUCGAGCGCUACACAAGAAGUGAUGUGGCUCAGUUCAGAGUUAAAUUGUGAACUACAGUUAUGCACGAGGAUAACCAGUCGGCAAUUGCACUGGCACAGAAUAUAUUCUGUGCCAGUGCAAUUGCCUAAAAAGUGGACAUCUGAAGCGCUGUCAUUCAUUUAUGAAACAUGUAAUCACUAGUAUGCUGUGUGUAUUAAUUAGACCAGCUUGACAAUCUGUGAGAAAGUGUUACCAUUUUAUUUCCAGAUAGGAGAUGACCCUGAUACAAUUGCUAGAUGCUACCCCCAAAAGUCUGCAACUCGUUUCUGUUGCUUUGAGGGACCGAAUUGAGUAAUAGCCACUCUGAAGGAUUUACCAAAUUGUGCUCAUCCAACAUUUGCGUGCUGCCUCUCUUUGAACAUCAAAAUGGACUCCUCCGCUCAAAUGUGUGUGAUUAUAAAUACUCUAUAUCGCGCAAAAUGUUUGAGGCACUUCAAGUGGAAUUGAAAAAAUUCUUUCGUUUUGUGCAGGGGCAGACUUAUCGAAAUAUUCCCAGUCCAAUCUUUGCACGAAUUAGUAGCUGGAAGAUCAUAGACGAACUCUUGGACUACUUCCUUGAUCUUCUGCGAAUAUUCGAUAAGUGCACGUCAGCAAAGCUGUAGAAAAUGAAUUAGCCUGUGUGAGAACUUUGUCAUCCACAAAAACGAACUUCAAUCAACUUGUUUAUACUUCACUACAAGUAUGUACAGCCAAGUUGCAAUCAUUCCAAACGAUAUAGUGUUGACUUCGAGUUUCCUGAGAAGCUGAUGCUGAGACCAGCCGAGCUGAGAGGUUUUCGUUCAGAGAAUUGGAAGAGGAUAUCUUUCUGUGGAAAACUGAAAGAACACUCACGAUGAGCAAGAAGGCAAAUUACAAUGAUAUCGAGUAAUUAGGAGCAGUACGCAAUGUCGUGUUGAGUUUAAAUCCAUUUUAGCAACCAAUUGAAUUCAGAUGGUAAAUAUAAUUAUAGCACAGUUUUGAAAUUCAUUUUGAUUCUAUCUGACAAUCAUAUGCAUUACAUCUCAAUAUACUGUAUAAAAGUCAGUGCAUUUUCAGAUAAAACCGGGAGGCCAACGUUGACCAUAUCUGGUGCUAUAUACCACUAUAGA